GCUUUCCAAAUCUCUUCUGUUUGGAAGCUAAAUUUACUGUUAAAUAAUCGAAUGUUUUGACAGUAAAUCAAAAAAAUUCAGAAAUACUUUAAUUAAAUAAAUUAAGCAUUGAAUGUCAAAUGUUUAAUCCAAAAUAGUCUUAUUUGGGAAAUAUACACCUUUAAAUAUAUUUAUCAGGAAAUGAAAUCAAGAAAAUAUCAUACUAAUAAAACGAAUAUCAGGUUAUUGGAAAAGAUUAAUUAGUUAGAGAGAAAAAAGGAGAAGAUGCCAGUAACAAAACACAAAAUUAACACUGGGAAAUAACAAAAAUAAUGGAUAUUUUUAAAAUGACUAAAAAUAUAAUGUGACAAAUUUGAAUCUAUAGAUGAAAUAAAUAAAUUCUUAGAAAAUAUACAAUUCCAAAACUGGUGCAGGAAAGACUAGGGGCCCUGGAUGUGGAAAUAAAUUUUAAAGAAGUUGAGAAGUUUUGUCAAGGACUGUCCUUGCCUAAUACUGUUGGCCCCAGUGAGUUUGCAGGUGAGCUCUCCUGAACUAUAAGGAACAACUGGAACCUUAUACACGUUCUUCAAAAAACAGAAAAAUAUAUAUAUAAUCGACUGCAGUCAUUUCCUCAGGUUAAUGCAAUCUCGAUUCUAAAGCCAGGUAGAAUGUUUCUAAGAGCACACAUUUGCAUUUCCCCUAUCCGUAUGAAUUUUAAAAUCCAUCAUAAGACGUAACCUAGUCAAAUGCAACAGUUUAUGAAAAACAGUAUAUUGUGAUCACGUGGUGUGGGAAGAUCCCAUGAAUGAGAAGGAUGUUUGGACAUCAGAAAACCUGUCAUGUGACUCAUCAUAUAAAUAAAGUAAAAAAGAAAACUCAUAUAAUCAUUACAAUCAGCCAGGAUGAUUGUAAAAUUCAACUCCUAUUCAUGGUUUUAUGAAAGGUCUCUUCACUGCAUGAAAUAGAAGGGGUCUUUCUUAGCUAGAUACAGAAUAUGUACUACAAAAUUAGCAAAUCCUGUACUAAAUGGGGAAACUAGAUGCAGUGUCUUAGGAUCAGGCACAGGCCCAGGCUACUCACUGUCUCUGCUGCUCUUCAGCAUGGAACUGGCCGUCAUGGGCGGGGCUGUAAGGAGAGGAAAAGAAGGGGCGUCAGGAUGGGAAGGGAAGAAACGUGAUCGUCUACCCGGAGAAGAUCCAAGCGGCAGGACGGGACACAGAGAACGACAGGAGAACACAA
RNAcentral lists this long non-coding RNA (1218 nucleotides) under Equus caballus (horse). RNAcentral describes it as "lncRNA (ENSECAG00000059201.1)". The record is from RNAcentral. Lineage: Eukaryota; Metazoa; Chordata; Mammalia; Perissodactyla; Equidae.